RNAcentral lists this ribosomal RNA (497 nucleotides) under uncultured bacterium. RNAcentral's name for it is "partial 16S ribosomal RNA". It matches the Rfam family "Bacterial small subunit ribosomal RNA", at positions 28 to 507 of the family's 1533-position model. The record is from RNAcentral.
GAUGAACGCUGGCGGCGUGCCUAAUACAUGCAAGUCGAGCGAACGGACGAGAAGCUUGCUUCUCUGAUGUUAGCGGCGGACGGGUGAGUAACACGUGGAUAACCUACCUAUAAGACUGGGAUAACUUCGGGAAACCGUAGCUAAUACCGGAUAAUAUUUUGAACCGCAUGGUUCAAAAGUGAAAGACGGUCUUGCUGUCACUUAUAGAUGGAUCCGCGCUGCAUUAGCUAGUUGGUAAGGUAACGGCUUACCAAGGCAACGAUGCAUAGCCGACCUGAGAGGGUGAUCGGCCACACUGGAACUGAGGCACGGUCCAGACUCUUACGGGAGGCAGCAGUAGGGAAUCUUCCGCAAUGGGCGAAAGCCUGACGGAGCAACGCCGCGUGAGUGAUGAAGGUCUUCGGAUCGUAAAACUCUGUUAUUAGGGAAGAACAUAUGUGUAAGUAACUGUGCACAUCUUGACGGUACCUAAUCAGAAAGCCACGGCUAACUACGUG